RNAcentral lists this ribosomal RNA (301 nucleotides) under uncultured bacterium. RNAcentral's name for it is "partial 16S ribosomal RNA". It matches the Rfam family "Bacterial small subunit ribosomal RNA", at positions 509 to 809 of the family's 1533-position model. The record is from RNAcentral.
CAGCCGCCACGGUAAUACAGAGGGUGCAAGCGUUAAUCGGAAUUACUGGGCGUAAAGCGCGCGUAGGUGGUUUGUUAAGUUGGAUGUGAAAGCCCCGGGCUCAACCUGGGAACUGCAUCCAAAACUGGCAAGCUAGAGUACGGUAGAGGGUGGUGGAAUUUCCUGUGUAGCGGUGAAAUGCGUAGAUAUAGGAAGGAACACCAGUGGCGAAGGCGACCACCUGGACUGAUACUGACACUGAGGUGCGAAAGCGUGGGGAGCAAACAGGAUUAGAUACCCCAGUAGUCCCUGUCUCUUAUAA